This is a long non-coding RNA of Cotesia glomerata, 103 nucleotides long. RefSeq lists it as uncharacterized. The transcript is spliced from 3 exons. Lineage: Eukaryota; Metazoa; Arthropoda; Insecta; Hymenoptera; Braconidae. The record is from RefSeq and is a predicted model, not a curated record.
GAUAAGCUAAUGUACAUAUGUAUCAUCAUUCUUUUAAGCUAAAUCUACAUGGUGACAAAGUGUGACGGUUUAUUAUUUAUAUUAUUUAUUUAAAGACGCAUCA